GAUGAACGCUAGCGAUAGGCCUAACACAUGCAAGUCGAGGGGCAGCACAAGGAGCAAUCUGAGGUGGCGACCGGCGCACGGGUGAGUAACACGUAUGCAACCUGCCUUCAACAAGGGGAUAACCCGUUGAAAGACGGACUAAUACCCUAUAACACAGGGGUCCCGCAUGGGGAUAUUUGUUAAAGGACAACCGGUUGAAGAUGGGCAUGCGUUCCAUUAGCUAGUUGGCGGGGUAAGGGCCCACCAAGGCAACGAUGGAUAGGGGAACUGAGAGGUUUAUCCCCCACACUGGUACUGAGACACGGACCAGACUCCUACGGGAGGCAGCAGUGAGGAAUAUUGGUCAAUGGACGCAAGUCUGAACCAGCCACGUCGCGUGAAGGAAGACGGCCCUACGGGUUGUAAACUUCUUUUAUACGGGAAUAAAGUGCCCCACGCGUGGGGUUUUGCAUGUACCGUAUGAAUAAGGAUCGGCUAACUCCGUG
This 485-nucleotide ribosomal RNA is filed under the name uncultured bacterium. RNAcentral describes it as "bacterial SSU rRNA". It matches the Rfam family "Bacterial small subunit ribosomal RNA", at positions 28 to 507 of the family's 1533-position model. The record is from RNAcentral.